AAACCAACGAAAGGAGGUGAUCCAGUGUCUUAUCUCAAGCGCUGUCACCUCGCUGGGAUCGCCCGCUAAGCUCUAGACCAACGGCUUGGCAUCGGGGCGCUCUCAGCCCUGGACCAGCGAGCAAGAAUUGGGCGCGACGGGGUUCUCCCCGCCGCGCC
RNAcentral lists this small RNA (158 nucleotides) under Bradyrhizobium daqingense. RNAcentral describes it as "caulobacter sRNA CC2171". Lineage: Bacteria; Pseudomonadati; Pseudomonadota; Alphaproteobacteria; Hyphomicrobiales; Nitrobacteraceae. The record is from RNAcentral.